GCAGCAGACCUGAUGAGCUCACGGGUCACAUGCGGAUGAAAGCGGAGUGGGGUAGAAUGAAAGGGAAGAGAAAGGAAGAAAUUGCCUUUUCGGAGUGUGGGACAGUAAACACGGGCAAAUGAACGGAAAGAACGCACGUGCCAGCGGUGGGACGCUUGUGGUCAUGAAUUAAAAUCAUCUGGUCAGCCU
This is a long non-coding RNA of Neogale vison (American mink), 189 nucleotides long. RefSeq lists it as uncharacterized. The record is from RefSeq and is a predicted model, not a curated record. Lineage: Eukaryota; Metazoa; Chordata; Mammalia; Carnivora; Mustelidae. The transcript has 2 exons.